Molecule: ribosomal RNA, 221 nt
Filed under: uncultured bacterium
Lineage: Bacteria
Description: partial 16S ribosomal RNA
Rfam family: Bacterial small subunit ribosomal RNA
Source: RNAcentral
UACAGGGGGAUAACAGCUGGAAACAGCUGCUAAUACCGCAUAAUGCAGUUGGGUCGCAUGGCUCUGACUGCCAAAGAUUUAUCGCUCUGAGAUGGACUCGCGUCUGAUUAGCUAGUUGGCGGGGUAACGGCCCACCAAGGCGACGAUCAGUAGCCGGACUGAGAGGUUGGCCGGCCACAUUGGGACUGAGACACGGCCCAGACUCCUACGGAAGGCAGCAG